Molecule: long non-coding RNA, 607 nt
Filed under: Aquilegia coerulea
Lineage: Eukaryota; Viridiplantae; Streptophyta; Magnoliopsida; Ranunculales; Ranunculaceae
Description: long non-coding RNA (ACOE_LNC000341)
Source: RNAcentral
AUUUUAAACAGCAAAUGGGCCGGACUGUAUCAGGGACGUUCGUACGUCCUAAAGACGUUCGUACGUCGGGACCCAAAAACGCAAACAUCUGUCAGACCUACGUUCGUACGUUCUAAUAACGUUCGUACGUUGGUUAUAGAUCUGCCCACCUCAACGUUCGGACGUCAUGAAAGCGUUCGUACGACCCCCUUUUUUUUUUUUUUUUUUUUUUUUUUUUUUUUUUGUUUAAAAUAAACCACAUAACCCGAAAAAGAAACAGAUAUUGAGAGACAUCACAAGAAAACACUUUUACGUAUCAUACGAAUUCCAAUUACAACCGAGUAUAGUUUAAACAAACCUCAACCACAAGAGAAUGCAAAAUCGAAGAACGACAUCAUACCCCAUGACAUGGUAGUUACUAGAAUGAUGCAAGUAUGUAGAAGAACCUGAUAGACCAAAACCAACCUCCGAAGAACAAACUAAAGACAUGAUCAUAGAGAAUAUUGAGGGUUACUUGAAACUCACCAAAAACACACACUAUUGUUUUUCUUUUUGUCCUUCAACUAGACAAAUGCGAAAGCCGCUAGUCAUUCAUUCAUUUUUUUUUUUUUUUUUUUUUUUUUUUUUU